Molecule: ribosomal RNA, 880 nt
Filed under: uncultured bacterium
Lineage: Bacteria
Description: bacterial SSU rRNA
Rfam family: Bacterial small subunit ribosomal RNA
Source: RNAcentral
GUGCUUAACACAUGCAAGUCGAUCGGUAACAGGUGUAGCAAUACAUGCUGACGAGAGGCGGACGGGUGAGGAAUAUUUGGGAAUCUGCCCAUCAGCGGGGGACAACCCGGGGAAACCCGGGCUAAUACCGCAUACGCUCUACGGAGGAAAGCCGGGGACCGCAAGGCCUGGCACUGAUGGAUGAGCCCAAAUCGGAUUAGCUAGUUGGCGGGGUAACGGCCCACCAAGGCGACGAUCCGUAGCUGGUCUGAGAGGACGAUCAGCCACACUGGCACUGAAACACGGGCCAGACUCCUACGGGAGGCAGCAGUGGGGAAUAUUGGACAAUGGGCGCAAGCCUGAUCCAGCCACGCCGCGUGAGUGAUGAAGGCCUUCGGGUUGUAAAGCUCUGUGGGGAGGGGCGAAAACGGCCGGUAAGAAACGACCGGUCCUUGACGGUACCUCCUUAGCAAGCACCGGCUAGCUCUGUGCCAGCAGCCGCGGUAAUACAGAGGGUGCGAACGUUGCUCGGAAUUACUGGGCGUAAAGCGCGUGUAGGCGGACGGGUAAGUCAGAUGUGAAAUCCCCGGGCUCAACCCGGGAACUGCAUUUGAAACUGCUCGUCUUGAGUACCGGAGAGGGUGGCGGAAUUCCUGGUGUAGAGGUGAAAUUCGUAGAUAUCAGGAGGAACACCGGUGGCGAAGGCGGCCACCUGGACGGUAACUGACGCUGAGACGCGAAAGCGUGGGGAGCAAACAGGAUUAGAUACCCUGGUAGUCCACGCUGUAAACGAUGGGUGCUAGGUGUCUCGGGUAUUGACCCCUGAGGUGCCGUAGCUAACGCGUUAAGCACCCCGCCUGGGAAGUACGGUCGCAAGACUAAAACUCAAAUGAAUUGACGG